This 1403-nucleotide long non-coding RNA is filed under the name Pogona vitticeps (central bearded dragon). Its description in RNAcentral is "lncRNA (ENSPVIG00000011918.1)". Lineage: Eukaryota; Metazoa; Chordata; Lepidosauria; Squamata; Agamidae. The record is from RNAcentral.
AGAUCAUGUGCUGAGAAUCUCCCUGUUAAUUCUCCUAUUCAACACAAAAUUGUCAGGGAAGUUUAUUCUUUUCUCCCAAUACAAUUGAGGGUAUAACAAAGGGCCAACUCUUUUCUGUCUUUUUUUGUUCAAAUGCAGAAGAGUGACCUUUGGAGAUAUACAUAUUUUGUUUUCCUUCGAAUCACUUCCUUGGUCAACUAGGAAUUUUCGCUGUGCACCACAGAUAGCAUUCCUUGGAAGGUAUACUAAAAUUAAAUACUCUGUUUUUGCUCACAGCUGUAGAAGAGCGAUGGGGAUAUGCAGAGGAAGUGUCUGUUACUCUUCAUACAGAGGAGGAAGUCUCUUAUACAGUCCCUGAAGAACCUGAGAGGAUUACCAAAAAAGAAAGACUACCAAUAACAAUAGCUACAAAAGUGAAGAAGCCUCCGACGAAAGGUAUAUUUGACGUUGUAACAUGUGUUUUCUCUGUGUGCUCCAAAUGUGUACUGUGUAUGCUAGUCUGGUAUUUCUGAGUAUUCUUAUUUUGGCUCUUAACGGUGAAGUAAAAUUUAGUUCUCAGUGUUCUUGAAUAGGUCACCUAAGCCUCUUGCAAAUUCUUGUUUUUAAAGCACCAGAGGUUCGUAAAGCUGUUGUUGAAAAAGAAGUUGUCCAUGUAGAAGUUUCUCCGUAUGUGGAGGAGGAGGAGGAGGAAGAGGAAGAAGCUACUCCAUAUGAAGAAGUGCCACCUCAGUAUGAAGAGGAGGAAGUGGCAGAAUAUGAAGAAGAAAUAUCUCGGUAUGAAGAGGAAGUUACCCGCUAUGAAGAGAAAGUCAGCCAGUAUGAGGAGGAAAUAACUCACUAUGAGGAAGAGGAAGAAGUUCCUCCUUAUGAAGAAGUUCCUGAAUAUGAAGAAGAGGAAGAGGUCCCUCCACCACCACCUCCUCCAGCUAAAGUGCCUGAAGUACCCAAGAAGCCUGUGCCUGAGAAAAAGGUUCCCGCGGUGCCUGUACCUAAGAAAAAGGAAGCUCCUCCAGCGAAAGGUACACCCUCUUUGUUGCUACUCUCACACUCUUUUUUUAAAAUAUUAAUCCCUUGAGCUAAGGGCAUCCAUUGAGGGACAUGGGGAACAGUCGCGGUCCUCUUCCUAGCUGUGUUGUUUACAGUCUUUUGUUUUAAUGUGCUGUAAGUGACGGAGUGUCUCAAACCAUAUCUUUAAAGUGCCCGAGGUGCCAAAGAAACCUGUACCAGAAGAAAAGGUGCCGGUGCCGAAAAGAAAAGAAGCUCCACCCGCCAAAGGUAAAUCAGUUUAGGGUUUGCCAUGUGUAGAUAACUGUUAUGUUCUCUUCAGACAUUCGCCUGAAGAAGUAUGCUCGGGCAUACGAAAGCUUGUGAAAAAUAAACGCCAGUUACUCUUAAAGGGGCCA